CCAGGUAGCUUAAUGGGAAAGCACCCAACCGGCAAUUGGGGGAUCUGGGUUCAAGUCCCGGCCUGG
Strigamia maritima is the source of this 66-nucleotide non-coding RNA. NCBI's taxonomy places the organism in Eukaryota, Metazoa, Arthropoda, Chilopoda, Geophilomorpha, Linotaeniidae. The record is from Rfam.